Bombina bombina (fire-bellied toad) is the source of this 190-nucleotide small nuclear RNA. RefSeq annotates it as U2 spliceosomal RNA. Lineage: Eukaryota; Metazoa; Chordata; Amphibia; Anura; Bombinatoridae. The record is from RefSeq and is a predicted model, not a curated record. The transcript has a single exon.
UCUUUUUCUCAGCCUUUUGGCUAGGAUCAAGUGUGGUAUCCGCUCUUAUCAGUUUAAUAUCAGAUUCGUCCUCUAUCGGGGGAUCUUAUAUUCAAUGGAUAUUUUGAACAGGGAGAUGGAAGAAGAACUUGCUCUAUUCACUCCACGCUUUGGCCUUGUAUUCUGUUCCUCAAGGAGCGGUAUUCCCUUC